RNAcentral lists this ribosomal RNA (336 nucleotides) under uncultured bacterium. RNAcentral describes it as "bacterial SSU rRNA". It matches the Rfam family "Bacterial small subunit ribosomal RNA", at positions 335 to 660 of the family's 1533-position model. The record is from RNAcentral.
ACUCCUACGGGAGGCAGCAGUGGGGAAUAUUGGACAAUGGGGGAAACCCUGAUCCAGCAAUGCCGCGUGUGUGAAGAAGGCCUGAGGGUUGUAAAAGCACUUUCAGUUGGGAGGAGGAUAUGCAGUUAAGAGCCAGCAUAUUGGACGUUUACCGACAGAAGAAGCACCGGCUAACUCCGUGCCAGCAGCCGCGGUAAUACGGAGGGUGCAAGCGUUAAUCGGAAUUACUGGGCGUAAAGGGUGCGUAGGUGGUUGAUUAAGUUAGGUGUGAAAUUCCUGGGCUUAACCUGGGCUGGAAACUUAAAAAUCUGGUCGACUUGAGUAUGGGAGAGGGUA